Molecule: unclassified non-coding RNA, 918 nt
Filed under: Homo sapiens (human)
Lineage: Eukaryota; Metazoa; Chordata; Mammalia; Primates; Hominidae
Description: matrix metallopeptidase 11 (ENSG00000275365.3)
Source: RNAcentral
AGAGAAUUGCUUGAACCCGGGAGGUGGAGGUUGUAGUGAGCCGAGAUCGCGCCACUGCACUCCAGCCUGGGCAACAGAGUGAGACUCCAUCUCAAAAAAACAAAACAAAAAACCAAUAAGCCCAGAAUCGGCCAGAACCCACAACCCAGUGAGACUGCGCUGUGCCAGGACGCCCACCACCUCCAUGCCGAGAGGAGGGGGCCACAGCCCUGGCAUGCAGCCCUGCCCAGUAGCCCGGCACCUGCCCCUGCCACGCAGGAAGCCCCCCGGCCUGCCAGCAGCCUCAGGCCUCCCCGCUGUGGCGUGCCCGACCCAUCUGAUGGGCUGAGUGCCCGCAACCGACAGAAGAGGUUCGUGCUUUCUGGCGGGCGCUGGGAGAAGACGGACCUCACCUACAGGAUCCUUCGGUUCCCAUGGCAGUUGGUGCAGGAGCAGGUGCGGCAGACGAUGGCAGAGGCCCUAAAGGUAUGGAGCGAUGUGACGCCACUCACCUUUACUGAGGUGCACGAGGGCCGUGCUGACAUCAUGAUCGACUUCGCCAGGUACUGGCAUGGGGACGACCUGCCGUUUGAUGGGCCUGGGGGCAUCCUGGCCCAUGCCUUCUUCCCCAAGACUCACCGAGAAGGGGAUGUCCACUUCGACUAUGAUGAGACCUGGACUAUCGGGGAUGACCAGGGCACAGACCUGCUGCAGGUGGCAGCCCAUGAAUUUGGCCACGUGCUGGGGCUGCAGCACACAACAGCAGCCAAGGCCCUGAUGUCCGCCUUCUACACCUUUCGCUACCCACUGAGUCUCAGCCCAGAUGACUGCAGGGGCGUUCAACACCUAUAUGGCCAGCCCUGGCCCACUGUCACCUCCAGGACCCCAGCCCUGGGCCCCCAGGCUGGGAUAGACACCAAUGAGAUUGCACCGCUGGAG